GCCGAAGUGGCGGAAUUGGUAGACGCGCUAGGUUCAGGGUCUAGUGAGCGUACGCUUGUCCGGGUUCAAAUCCCGGCUUCGGCACCA
This 87-nucleotide transfer RNA is filed under the name Deltaproteobacteria bacterium. Its description in RNAcentral is "tRNA-Leu". It matches the Rfam family "tRNA". From Rfam's summary of the family: Transfer RNA (tRNA) molecules are approximately 80 nucleotides in length. Their secondary structure includes four short double-helical elements and three loops (D, anti-codon, and T loops). RNAcentral also lists the same sequence under 1 other name. Lineage: Bacteria; Pseudomonadati; Myxococcota; Myxococcia. The record is from RNAcentral.